Molecule: non-coding RNA, 781 nt
Organism: Pelobates cultripes (western spadefoot toad)
Lineage: Eukaryota; Metazoa; Chordata; Amphibia; Anura; Pelobatidae
Source: the annotation of a GenBank genome assembly
AAUACAUGCAAGCUCGUGGUGCCCCAACAGCAUUCCUCGAGCAUAUUUUCAAGCAUAACAGUAGGAGCAGUAAAAUAAUCAGCACAUUUUUGUAUAACAACAGUAGCAUAACAUUAAUAUUCGGUAUGACUGCGCUUUUGCAUGGUUGAGAACCCAGUAUCGGCCCGCGUUUACGGCCACAGUUAGCUAUAUAUUAAAUGGCGUCCAAAGACUUCCGUGUGGCUAGGCUACCUAGCUCUGCCUCAGGUUUGGGAGCAUCAAAACAAUCCUGCAUCGCCUUUAUGCCAUGCUGUACAAUAGAGGGCUUGUGUGGGCCCGCUCGGCUAGUGCCCUUUUUUUUCGGCCGGCUAUUUAUUCUGGAUAAAUUAGUGGCAUGGUGGUGGCUGAGAUAGUGUGUCCAGCAUUUCUGAGGGCUGGGCUCAUACGUUUAUGUUCAGACUUAGGGUGCUAUUCCUGCUAGGCUUAUGAGACACAAUCUUAUACAUUGCAAGAUAUUAGCUAAUAGAGUACAUCACAUGUCUGAGUUACUGCAUUAUUUACUUUGAUGUAGAUUACAUUACCCAAACCUAAGCAGACACAGAGUUGGGUAUUCAAUGGUAGGCUUCUAAUCGCAGGUUAAUCCUGCUGAGAGAGGUUAUGGGCACUUAUGCAGGUUGAAGCGAUGCAAGAAAAGGAAAGUGCUUAAGAAAUCAUAUAACAUGGCAGAUCUGGUACAGAUAAAAUUAAACAAAAGUAUGAACAAUGUACACGCUGAGUGUGGAUAUCGGAGCCUUAUUCUGCU